Sciurus carolinensis (gray squirrel) is the source of this 342-nucleotide long non-coding RNA. RefSeq lists it as uncharacterized. The transcript is spliced from 3 exons. NCBI's taxonomy places the organism in Eukaryota, Metazoa, Chordata, Mammalia, Rodentia, Sciuridae. The record is from RefSeq and is a predicted model, not a curated record.
GAGAUAUUAGGGCAGGAAUAGGAAGGAUCCGCCCCGCAGCGCGCGACUGUAAACCGCCUCCUUCCAAAGUGCAGCGGCUGAACCGGAGGAGGAACCGAACACAGCUUCGCGCGAGGAAGGGAUUCAACAAUUGGACAAGAAAAAGACCCUGUCCCCAUUCCCACAGGCAUACCCAUAUCUCCACUAAAACUAGAGUCUUAGAGAAGAGCAAUCGGAUCUUGCUAAGUUGUUGAGGCCGGCUUGUGAUCCUCCUGCCUCAGCCUCCGGAGUAGCUGGGAUUACAGGCAUGUACCACUGUGCCUGGCAAGGCAGUCAUUCACCUCUCUAUGUCUCGGUGCUUCC